AUGCUGCGUGGCCACUGCUUCCCUGGCCCCUGGCACCAAGCCUGGCACGGGGGUGUGGGGUGCCAGGGGGGAACUACCCCGUUGAAGCAAAGGGCUGGGGCUUGGGUCCCCCGUUGCUGUGUCCCUGCCCAGGUCCUCCCUCCGCCGGGGCAGUUGUGGCCACGUGGCCCCGGCUUUCCAGGCUCGGCCCCUCCUUCCCUCUGUUCCUCCCUCCUCCCUCCCCCCUCCGUGGACCGGAGCCACCGCCGAGCUCGGCUCCUGCCAGGGCGGGCCUCGGCACCACCCGCUGCCAGAGAGGCUGGGGUGCAGAGCCAGCCAGCUCUCUUUGGUGGGCGCCUGCGUCGUGGGCCGGGGAACCCCUUGAUCCCCGUUCACUGCUCUGCCGGCUGGAAGCCUGUCUGCUGGCCUGCCCCACUGAGGGUGGCCCGGGACAAGGGAAGAGGAUGGUGGAGGCAAAUCCGGCAGUUGUGGACCAUCUGGGAUUGUGUAUAUGCGCGCGGGUGCCUGUGUUUUAAGCCUCGCCUGUCCCCCCUCAGGGUCUGGACGCAUCACUUGGGCAAUGGCAUCCCUCCUUUGCUCCACAAAUACCUGAUGAGUGCCUUCUGCUCCGGAUGCCAAGCAUACAGCAAGAAUGAGACAGAGACCCCCGCUCUCAGGGAGAGGGAGCCUCUACUGGGGGGAGAGGAGGAGGAGGGGACCAACAGUCCGCAUGUACACGAGGUCAGGUACUAAUAAAUGCCACAGAGGAGGAUAAAGCAGGGGUGCAAACUUUGUCAGGGGUCAAGAAAGACCUUUCUAAUGAGGUUUUAUUUGCACGGAGACCCAAAUGUCAGGAAAGGGUGAGCCACGCAGCUCCGGGCAGAGGGAAGCAUAGGUGCAAAGGCCCUGAGGCUGGAACAAGCUUGAGGUGUCUGAGACAAAAAUGCAGGAGGCGAGCGCAGUUGUAGUGAAGAGAGUGGGAGGGAUGAGGUCCUGAGGUUGAAACAGCCCAGCUGGUCUGGGGCUUGGUAAGUCCCAGUGGGGAGUUUUAUCCAAGGGGGAGGCCUGGGGAGAGCCAUUGGUUUACCGUUGCUUCUGGUUCCCUCCUAACCAAGGCAGCCUUUCUGAUCUUGGUUCUGGUUAUCGGCAUAGAGUUGUCUCUGCUGUCGUUCUUGUCCCAUAAACCUCUGGGGUCCUUUGUCUGGAGCAAAGGCCUUGGCUGGAGCCUGGGCCGCAGGGAAGCAGGAGGCAGAGGGGGUGGUGACCUUCUCUGUGGGUCAGAGUGGGCACUUUUGUGACCUGGUGCUGGGCAGCCCUGGGCAGUGACUUCCCCUCUCUGGACCUCAGCGUUUUGGUUUGGGAAGGAGAAAGGAAGAGGAACCGUGCGGAGGGCUCACUGUGGCCUGUCUGCACGCCUGGUGCCGCACGCCUGGUGCGGGCCUGGGCCAGAGUCGGCACCGAAGCAUGCGCCCGUCCCCUCCAUCCACUCGGCCACCAAGAAGGAACAGCCCGCGCUAGGUGCCGGGACCGAGCCGUAAUCAACUGAAACGUGGGUCCCGCCUGUGCCGAGCCACUGACUUAGUGGGAGACAAUAGGCACACUCAUGAGUGUGUAACCUGUUGGGUGAUGUGAAGGGCCGGGAGAGGGUAGGCGGAAUGUGCCAGGCACCGGGGGUGCGGUGAUGGGCAAGACUGGACCAAGCCCCCGCCCCCGUGGCGCGCUUGCCGCAGCCAGUGCGGAAAGUUGGUGUCGG
Molecule: long non-coding RNA, 1732 nt
Filed under: Felis catus (domestic cat)
Lineage: Eukaryota; Metazoa; Chordata; Mammalia; Carnivora; Felidae
Description: lncRNA (ENSFCAG00000047432.1)
Source: RNAcentral